Molecule: ribosomal RNA, 444 nt
Filed under: uncultured bacterium
Lineage: Bacteria
Description: partial 16S ribosomal RNA
Rfam family: Bacterial small subunit ribosomal RNA
Source: RNAcentral
CCAGACUCCUACGGGAGGCAGCAGUGGGGAAUAUUGCACAAUGGGGGAAACCCUGAUGCAGCGACGCCGCGUGAGCGAUGAAGUAUUUCGGUAUGUAAAGCUCUAUCAGUAGGGAAGAAAAUGACGGUACCUGACUAAGAAGCCCCGGCUAACUACGUGCCAGCAGCCGCGGUAAUACGUAGGGGGCGAGCGUUAUCCGGAUUCACUGGGUGUAAAGGGAGCGUAGACGGCCAAGCAAGCCAGGGGUGAAAGCCCGGGGCCCAACCCCGGGACUGCUCUUGGAACUGCGUGGCUAGAGUGCAGGAGGGGCAGGCGGAAUUCCUGGUGUAGCGGUGAAAUGCGUAGAUAUCAGGAGGAACACCGGUGGCGAAGGCGGCCUGCUGGACUGCAACUGACGUUGAGGCCCGAAAGCGUGGGGAGCAAACAGGAUUAGAUACCCCAGUA